GCGCCCGUGGCUCAGCUGGAUAGAGCAUCGGACUACGAAUCCGAGGGUCGCAGGUUCGAAUCCUGCCGGGCGCGCCA
Molecule: transfer RNA, 77 nt
Filed under: Nitrospirota bacterium
Lineage: Bacteria; Pseudomonadati; Nitrospirota
Description: Nitrospirae bacterium tRNA-Arg
Rfam family: tRNA
About the family: Transfer RNA (tRNA) molecules are approximately 80 nucleotides in length. Their secondary structure includes four short double-helical elements and three loops (D, anti-codon, and T loops).
Source: RNAcentral